UACGUAGGAUGCAAGGCGUUGUCCGGAAUUAUUGGGCGUAAAGAGCGCGCAGGCGGUCUAUCAAGUCAGAUGUGAAAUAUCCGGGCUUAACCCGGAGGGGUCAUUUGAAACUGGUAGACUAGAGUACAGCAGAGGAUAGCGGAAUUCCCGGUGUAGUGGUGAAAUGCGUAGAUAUCGGGAGGAACACCAGUGGCGAAGGCGGCUAUCUGGGCUGAAACUGACGC
This 224-nucleotide ribosomal RNA is filed under the name uncultured bacterium. Its description in RNAcentral is "partial 16S ribosomal RNA". It matches the Rfam family "Bacterial small subunit ribosomal RNA", at positions 524 to 746 of the family's 1533-position model. The record is from RNAcentral.